Molecule: ribosomal RNA, 575 nt
Filed under: uncultured bacterium
Lineage: Bacteria
Description: bacterial SSU rRNA
Rfam family: Bacterial small subunit ribosomal RNA
Source: RNAcentral
CCUACGGGAGGCAGCAGUAAGGAAUAUUGGUCAAUGGACGCAAGUCUGAACCAGCCAUGCCGCGUGAAGGAUUAAGGUCCUCUGGAUUGUAAACUUCUUUUAUUUGGGACGAAAAAGGGCCUUUCUAGGUCAACUGACGGUACCAGAUGAAUAAGCACCGGCUAACUCCGUGCCAGCAGCCGCGGUAAUACGGAGGGUGCAAGCGUUAUCCGGAUUCACUGGGUUUAAAGGGUGCGUAGGCGGGUAGGUAAGUCAGUGGUGAAAUCCUGGAGCUCAACUCCAGAACUGCCAUUGAUACUAUUUAUCUUGAAUAUUGUGGAGGUAAGCGGAAUAUGUCAUGUAGCGGUGAAAUGCUUAGAUAUGACAUAGAACACCUAUUGCGAAGGCAGCUUACUACGCAUAUAUUGACGCUGAGGCACGAAAGCGUGGGGAUCAAACAGGAUUAGAUACCCUGGUAGUCCACGCCCUAAACUAUGAUUACUCGACAUUUGUGAUACACAAUAAGUGUCUGAGCGAAAGCAUUAAGUAAUCCACCUGGAAGUACGUCCGCAAGGAUGAACUCAAGGAAUUGACGG